Non-coding RNA from Phalacrocorax carbo (great cormorant), 296 nucleotides. NCBI's taxonomy places the organism in Eukaryota, Metazoa, Chordata, Aves, Suliformes, Phalacrocoracidae. The record is from RefSeq and is a predicted model, not a curated record.
GGGGGGCUUGUGGAAAAGGUACUCGUGCGAGGGAGGUGGUCGUGCAAAGGGGGCUUGUGGAAGAGGCGCUCGUGCGAUGGGCGCUCGUGCAAAGAGGGGCUCAUGGAAAAGGUGGUCGUGCAAAGGGGGGCUCGUGCAAAGGGGGCUUGUGGAAGAGGUGCUAGUGCGAGGGGCACUUGUGCAAAGGGGGGCUCAUGGAAAAGGUGCUCGUGGUGCUUGUGCAAGAGGUGGUCGUGCAAAUGGGGGCUCGUGCAAAGGGGGUCUCGUGGAAAAGGUACUCGUGCAAGGGGGUUGUU